CUUCAUUGUCCAUUGGAAUAAAGGGUGGUGUAUAUAUGAAUAAAAAGGGAACAUUAUAGAACAGGUCAUAAGAAAAAAGAGAUGGCUAUGAACAGGCAUCAAUUGAGGGAAACGGGCGUGAAUGUGAUGAGUGGUUUUCUUUUGUUUACUUUCAUAAUGAAGUGUUUGAAUGGUUAUGAAAAGUCUUUAAAGUUAGGGUUGGGACAGACCCUAAAAUCCUCGUAAAGUGAAAGCAAACAUAGGAAAAAGAUAACUCAACAUAAGUCAUUGUUGAUUGCUGGAGAUUGGAGGAGAGACUGUGUAGGUAAGCAUCAUAACACGGGCAUCGAUGGUUUGAUAAGUUUACAUUGCCCAACCCAAUAAGCAAUGCCACCAUUUUGUUUCUUGUGCCAUUACCCCAUUAUAGGGAUGCUUCCUCCGGGUUGCGUCUUACUUUUUAGUACUAGUAUUCCUCCACAUCUUUAUCCUAUAAUAAUCAUCUGUCCCACACUCUACAUACUUUACAAAUUAUCCAAGCUAAGGCUUUUUAUCACACCAAUCCAAUAACAUUAGACUUUAUUAUCCCCUCUCUCAUCUCUCUAAUUCAAUUUACAAAUAGUAGUAAGUCAAAUAAAACUAAAAGUACUUCAUGAGUCUCAAAAUGAAUGUGAAAAUUGUCAUUUUUAUCAAAUUAUCCUUGAUUGGUU
This 686-nucleotide long non-coding RNA is filed under the name Medicago truncatula (barrel medic). RNAcentral's name for it is "lncRNA gene24608". Lineage: Eukaryota; Viridiplantae; Streptophyta; Magnoliopsida; Fabales; Fabaceae. The record is from RNAcentral.